Molecule: ribosomal RNA, 522 nt
Filed under: Triticum aestivum (bread wheat)
Lineage: Eukaryota; Viridiplantae; Streptophyta; Magnoliopsida; Poales; Poaceae
Description: partial small subunit ribosomal RNA
Source: RNAcentral
AUGCCAUUCGGGUUGUGCAACAUGCCAGCUACGUUUCAGUUCUUGAUGAACACUGUCUUCGGCUGCUACGUUCGUAAGUUCAUCAUUAUUUUCUUGGAUGACAUCUUGGUUUUCAGCAUAGACCUGCAGAAACACGAAGAACACCUGCGCCUCACUCUGGAGCUCCUCCGCGAAAAUCAGUUGUUCGCCAAGGCCAGCAAGUGUUCGUUCGCACAAACAAGUAUUGAGUACCUGGGGCACGUGAUCUCACAAGACGGCAUCGCCACCGACACAAGUAAGACCAGUGCAAUGCAGGCCUGGCCCGUGCCCUCGACACCAACCGAGCUGCGUGGGUUCCUAGGGUUGACAGGGUACUACCGCAAAUUCGUUCCUCACUAUGGCAUCAUCGCCAAGCCCUUGAUGCAGCUCCUCUCGAAGAAAGGAUUUGUCUGGGAUGACAAGGCACAACAAGCAUUUGACACGCUCAAGCAGGCGAUGAUGAGCACACCGGUCUUGGCGCUUCCCAACUUCACACGCCCGUUC